AGAAUCAACGCUGGCGGCGUGCCUAACACAUGCAAGUCGAACGCGACUGGGGACUUCGGUUCUCAGUUGAGUGGCGAACGGGUGAGUAACACGUGGGUGAUCUACCUUCGAGCGGGGGAUACGGUCCGAAAGGACGCUAAUACCGCAUGACGUCCUGGGUUUAAAGACCUGGAGACCAAAGCUAGGGACCGCAAGGCCUGGCACUUGAAGAGGAGCCCGCGUCCGAUUAGCUAGUUGGCGGGGUAACGGCCACCAAGGCGACGAUCGGUAGCCGGCCUGAGAGGGCGGACGGCCACACUGGGACUGAGACACGGCCCAGACUCUACCCCCGGGAGGCCAGCAGUGGGGAAAUUGUUCACAAUGGGCGCAAGGCCUGAUGACGCAACCGCCGCGGUGGGGAUGGAAGGUCGUUCGGAUCGUAAACCCUGUCGAGUGGACGAAUAACUCACGUAAUAAUACCUCGGUAGGAAGUGACGGUACCGAGUAAAGGAAGACCACGGCUAACUCUGU
RNAcentral lists this ribosomal RNA (510 nucleotides) under uncultured soil bacterium. Its description in RNAcentral is "bacterial SSU rRNA". It matches the Rfam family "Bacterial small subunit ribosomal RNA", at positions 26 to 506 of the family's 1533-position model. The record is from RNAcentral.